UACGAAGGGUGCAAGCGUUAAUUGGAAUUACUGGGCGUAAAGGGUGCGUAGGUGGUCUGUUAAGUUGGAUGUGAAAGCCCCCGGGCUCAACCUGGGAAUGGCAUCCAAAACUGGCAGGCUGGAGUGCGGUAGAGGAUGGUGGAAUUCCCGGUGUAGCGGUGAAAUGCGUAGAGAUCGGGAGGAACAUCGAUGGCGAAGGCAGCCAUCUGGACCAGCACUGACGCUGAGGCACGAAAGCGUGGGGAGCAAACAGGAUUAGAUA
RNAcentral lists this ribosomal RNA (262 nucleotides) under uncultured prokaryote. RNAcentral describes it as "partial 16S ribosomal RNA". It matches the Rfam family "Bacterial small subunit ribosomal RNA", at positions 524 to 784 of the family's 1533-position model. The record is from RNAcentral.